This 406-nucleotide ribosomal RNA is filed under the name uncultured bacterium. Its description in RNAcentral is "partial 16S ribosomal RNA". It matches the Rfam family "Bacterial small subunit ribosomal RNA", at positions 30 to 526 of the family's 1533-position model. The record is from RNAcentral.
AUUGAACGCUAGCGGCAGGCCUAACACAUGCAAGUCGAACGAGUGGCGGACGGGUGAGUAAUGUAUGGGAACCUGCCUGAUGGAGGGGGAUAACUACUGGAAACGGUAGCUAAUACCGCAUACCAUCGGAUGUGCCCAUAUGGGAUUAGCUCGUUGGUGGGGUAACGGCUCACCUGGGCGACGAUCCCUAGCUGGUCUGAGAGGAUGACCAGACACACUGGAACUGAGACACGGACCAGAAUCCUACGGGAGGCAGAAGCGGUGAAUAUUGGACAAUGGGGGAAAUCCUGAUGCAGCCAGGCCGCGUGUAUGAAGAAGGCCUUCGGGUUGUAAAGUACUUUUAGCGGGGAGGCGUUACCCGCAGAAGAAGCACCGGCUAACUCCGGGCCAGCAGCCGCGGUAAUAC